RNAcentral lists this unclassified non-coding RNA (255 nucleotides) under Moritella viscosa. Its description in RNAcentral is "putative sRNA". Lineage: Bacteria; Pseudomonadati; Pseudomonadota; Gammaproteobacteria; Alteromonadales; Moritellaceae. The record is from RNAcentral.
UGGUGGUGAGACUGCAUAGUGAGAAUGUCAUCUAUGUAAUCGACUGCUAUAAAAGCUUAAUGCGGGGGAAUAAACUAUACAUCUACGUUCAAAAUAGAUAGGUUCGUUACAGGUCAAAUCCUUAAAGUGUGAUUUAGAGCUAUUGCUUCAUCAUUUUUAGUAAAGAAAAUGAAACAUUCAUCAAAUAUUUUUCAGGUAUCACAAAGCUGGAAUGUAUUGUUUUUUUAUACUUAAGGCCUUUUAUUACAAUGAUUU